AUCCGUACAAGUAAUAAAUUGAGAUUAAACUAAUCAUAGCCAGAUCAAAAACUGAUUCACGAAAUGUACCAGAAUGUAUAAAAAGGUUUACUACUGCACAAGGUACAACACCUGAAAAGCAACCUUAACCGCAGGGAAUCUCUCCCCCAAAUGAACAGAGAAUGUGGGGUCCACACGCGUGCACUCACGGCCAUUGAGAUUGGUGACGGAGAUCGGACGGCUGAGAGGCGGGCUCUGUGAUGGGAGCUUUCACGCCGGGCUAGGUCACCCCUAGCACACCAUACGAGGUGCGUUGGUACUAAAACUUCGCCGCAAUCACAGCGGAUAAUUAUUCCUAAAUUUCGGUACUCCCAAACGCCGUUUCUUCACCUUCCCGAACGCCGUUGACGGUUAUCCACGUGUCGCGCAUGCCGCGGACUGAUUAGAAUGAUCCAAUACAGUUGUGUGGUAACGGAGACUUUUUCUUUUUUUUUUGAUUGACUUCACGCGCCACUCUCUUGGUAUUCAUCAAGACCUGAAUUUAUGUUUUUCUGAACUUGGCAUUAUUUUAGGUGGUUUCCUAAAUCGGCUUAGUUCGGACAAUUUUGAUCGAAAA
This 595-nucleotide long non-coding RNA is filed under the name Erythranthe guttata (spotted monkey flower). RNAcentral's name for it is "long non-coding RNA (EGUT_LNC000946)". Lineage: Eukaryota; Viridiplantae; Streptophyta; Magnoliopsida; Lamiales; Phrymaceae. The record is from RNAcentral.